GAUGAAGAACGUAGCGAAAUGCGAUAAGUAAUGUGAAUUGCUGAAUUCAGUGAAUCAUCGAAUCUUUGAACGCACAUUGCGCCCGCCAGUAUUCUGGCGGGCAUGCCUGUUCGAGCGUCAUUACAACCCUCAGGCCCCCGGGCCUGGCGUUGGGGAUCGGCGGAAGCCCCCUGCGGGCACAACGCCGUCCCCCAAAUACAGUGGCGGUCCCGCCGCAGCUUCCAUUGCGUAGUAGCUAACACCUCGCAACUGGAGAGCGGCGCGGCCACGCCGUAAAACACCCAACUUCUGAAUGUUGACCUCGAAUCAGGUAGGAAUACCCGCUGAACUUAAGCAUAUCAAUAAGCGGAGGA
RNAcentral lists this unclassified non-coding RNA (353 nucleotides) under soil metagenome. RNAcentral describes it as "partial contains 5.8S ribosomal RNA, internal transcribed spacer 2, and large subunit ribosomal RNA". The stretch from base 1 to 120 matches the Rfam family "5.8S ribosomal RNA", at positions 35 to 154 of the family's 154-position model. The record is from RNAcentral.